GAUGAAGAACGUAGCGAAAUGCGAUAAGUAAUGUGAAUUGCAGAAUUCAGUGAAUCAUCGAGUCUUUGAACGCACAUUGCGCCCCCUGGUAUUCCGGGGGGCAUGCCUGUCCGAGCGUCAUUGCUGCCCUCAAGCACGGCUUGUGUGUUGGGCCUCCGUCCUCCUCCCGGGGGACGGGCCCGAAAGGCAGCGGCGGCACCGCGUCCGGUCCUCGAGCGUAUGGGGCUUCGUCACCCGCUCUUGUAGGCCCGGCCGGCGCUUGCCGACACAUCAAUCUUUUUUCCAGGUUGACCUCGGAUCAGGUAGGGAUACCCGCUGAACUUAAGCAUAACAAUAAGCGGAGGA
Molecule: unclassified non-coding RNA, 345 nt
Filed under: soil metagenome
Description: partial contains 5.8S ribosomal RNA, internal transcribed spacer 2, and large subunit ribosomal RNA
Rfam family: 5.8S ribosomal RNA (bases 1-120)
Source: RNAcentral